Long non-coding RNA from Candoia aspera, 907 nucleotides. RefSeq lists it as uncharacterized. The record is from RefSeq and is a predicted model, not a curated record. The transcript has 4 exons. Lineage: Eukaryota; Metazoa; Chordata; Lepidosauria; Squamata; Candoiidae.
GGAGGGGAAUGGCGAGCGGAGUCGCCGGACGGCCACGGGCCGCCAUCCGCCUCCAUCCGAAGCGGGGCGGGCGCCGGCUGCGGCCGGGAGCGGGGCGCGCAGGAGUGAGUCCCAAGCCGGGUUGAUGGAGGGACUCUUGGCCGCGGUUGUCGUGGGUCCUUUGGCCGGGCCCGCCCUGCCCCGCCGGGCCCCGCCGGACUACGAUCCCCAGGAGGCCGCGCGGCAUCGCCCAAGUCUUCUCGGGCUGUUGGAGAACGGGGCGCUGCCGUGCAUUUCCACGUUCGGCUCGUUUUAGCUGCCCGUUUGGAGCCGAGGCGCUUUCCGCCGGCAGCUGGCCACGUGGCGGGGGGGCAGAGAACGCGGUGUGGACUAGCGGCUUGAUCGCCCCUUUGAAAACGAAGCUCAGAACGCUUAGAAGCCACGCGUUAGCUUUGGCUGCAUGAAAAGGAUCUACUCCCAUCUGUCCUCGCCAUGGUGCUUGCCCAGUUGAAGGGACAACCAGUGAGGUGCCCCCAGGAUGCUUUGGACACAAAUUACCAUCAUCCCCAGCCAUUAUGGCCGCUUCUGAGGCUCCUUUGGAUCUUCUCUGGAUCUCAAAUCUACCAAUUCUUCUACUGGGCUCCCACAGUUGCCUCCUUACAGCCCUGGAAGGCAGCGUGAGUUAGUUCAGGUUACAUCUAGCAGUCUGGAGUGAGGAUGGAGCGGGCCUUCGCCGAGGAGCCAUUUCUCACCCGUUUCUGAGACGGUUCAUUGUCCAAUCCAGCUCUGAAGCUUUGUUUCUCUCUUCCGGCAUGGUCAAAGAAGCCAUCACCUCUUCCCCACUACAUCAGCCCGUCCCACCCGGUCGUGCGGAGAGGGCCUGCUGCGGACCCCGUCGGUAAGAGAAUUCCAUCUGGCGGGGUCCAGG